RNAcentral lists this ribosomal RNA (253 nucleotides) under uncultured bacterium. RNAcentral's name for it is "partial 16S ribosomal RNA". It matches the Rfam family "Bacterial small subunit ribosomal RNA", at positions 524 to 776 of the family's 1533-position model. The record is from RNAcentral.
GACGUAGGGCGCGAGCGUUGUCCGGAUUUAUUGGGCGUAAAGAGCUCGUAGGCGGCUCAUCGCGUCAACCGUGAAAACCAGCAGCUCAACUGUUGGCUUGCGGUUGAUACGGGUGGGCUGGAGUUCGGUAGGGGAGACUGGAAUUCCUGGUGUAGCGGUGAAAUGCGCAGAUAUCAGGAGGAACACCGGUGGCGAAGGCGGGUCUCUGGGCCGAUACUGACGCUGAGACGCGAAAGCGUGGGGAGCGAACAGG